Molecule: long non-coding RNA, 1844 nt
Filed under: Equus caballus (horse)
Lineage: Eukaryota; Metazoa; Chordata; Mammalia; Perissodactyla; Equidae
Description: lncRNA (ENSECAG00000045370.1)
Source: RNAcentral
UGCAUGUGAUAUGUUAAGAAGAAACAGUAGGCAUUAUUAUUAUGGGCACAUGAAUAUUUAAAUAAAAAUCUAAAGCUCUGUUUCAACUAAUUUUUGCUCUGGAUAGAAAGUUUACUACCUAAUGGGGACUGGCCCUUCUGAGUGACUGUUGGCAUUGAAAUUGUCCAUCACAAAACAGAGAAGAAUGGGAGCACUUUAGAAAUGUAAAUUUACGGACAUGUUUCCAAGGCUGUGGCGAACUAGAAGACGGUAAAUAAAUAAGAGCUGGUCCAAAAAUACCAACGAAUUUGAAUUGACUUUAAGAAUAAGAGUUUUUCUCUUGCUGGAGCUGGAGGAGGCUGGGAAAACAGCACACAGAGCACUUUAUUAUAGUUACAGCUUGAUCACCUCGACUCUUCUGAAAACCAUGCAAGAGAGUUUACGAGUCCGCAUUCAACAGACGUAAAUACUGAGACCCGAAGAUGAUUCUCGAUCCAGGACCGUUACUACACUUGUCUACAAAGAAAUGUUAAUAUCAAUGUUUCUAUUAAACCCAGAUGUAGCCUCUAAUUUAUAAUAAGCAUUGUAAACCAGUGCUUCUCAAAUGCUAAUGUGCAUACAAAUCCCUGGGGUCUUGAUAACAAGCAGACUGAUCCAGCAGGUCCGAGUGGAGACACUGGUGGGUGGAGACAAGCUCCAGGUGAUGUGAUGCUGCCUGACCAUGGACCUUGGGCAUCAAGGAACUCAACCUGACCUCGGUGGCUUUGGCUGUGUCAGCUCUGACAUUUAUUGGAUUCAGCGUUCUCUGCUGUGGCGUCGUUUUCAUCAUUCCCCUACGUUACAAAGCACUUAGCAAACACAGUGGCUGAAAAAAUGGACUGAGAGUUCUGUGCUUUGGCACUGUUUAUCUCCAUUAACAAAUGGGAAACAGUGCUUUGGAAAAAUGUGGGUUUUUUCUCAUUGUACUCUAAGUCAUCUUCUAAAAGCUAAAUGUAAGUGAUACAUAGGCUCAACAUUUCAGCCUUCAUAGUUUUAAUUCAGAGGCUUACCUGUGGGACUUGAUUGAGUGGCAACACUGGUAUGCAAAGGAAAAUAUCUACAAAGUUAGCAUUGCUUCAUAUCUUCAGUAUCUUUACUUCUUCAUUUGAACACAGAUGUGUGGAAAACUCACAAUUUUUACUUCGCAAAAGUAACCAAUCCGUGUUUUGUUGGUGGUGGGAUUUUUCUUGUUUUUUUAAUUUGGUCUGGUUUUUUGGUUUUUUAAAGUUAUUCACUCUUACCUUUAAGAUAAAUACUUUUCUUGGCUUGUGUCAGAAAAAAAUGACCAACUUUCCAAAGAUGAAUUCCAACCUAAGAACGCAGGCAGCUCUUGACGUCAAAAUCGAGACGUCAAAGAGGAGAGCAGUGUUUGUUUGGAAAAAGAUCUGCCAGUUGACAGUGUCCUGAAAAUCAGCCUCUUACAGUUCCCAAGAGGACUGACAGAAGAGUUUUCAAAGGUCUCCAAAACUGUCUGCUCUUUGUUUGGGGGAAAAAGAGAAAAGAAUGAGAAACAUCACCCCUUUGACACACAUACACACUCAAACACACCUACACUCACUGUGGUGUGAGCGUGUUCUCGUUCUUUGUUUUUGGAAAGUUACCACAUUUUUCAGCAAUGACAGAGAAUAAUGGUGUCUCCUUACCCUUGCACAAACCAUCACGUUAAUGUUUGUGACAGAUUAUUGCACAAAUGACCCCAGUCCUCCACUCCUCCCUAUGUCUCUGGUGGUGCCAUCCCACACUGACUCUGUGUGGGAGGAAUGAGACUUGUUUUGGCCAAUAGGAGAGCAGCAAACUUGAUGCAAGCAGAAGCUUGUAAAAGUAUG